Molecule: long non-coding RNA, 955 nt
Organism: Hirundo rustica (Barn swallow)
Lineage: Eukaryota; Metazoa; Chordata; Aves; Passeriformes; Hirundinidae
Exons: 3
Source: RefSeq, a predicted model, not a curated record
UGUAUUUUUGUCUCUUUGGAGCCGUGUUUCAGAGAGAGGCGAGAAAUUGUUGUGCUGUGACAAAACAAGAGCUGCCAUAUAUCGAAGGAGGUCCUUUGGUUUCCUUUUCUGUUUGUUGAUUUGUGUUUUGAGGUUGCUGUGACCCCCACAUACAUCUAAAAAAAUUCCUUGGAAGCUUUCUCUUCCCAGCAUGUGUUGUGUCAGCCAACAAUCCCAACAUUCCCCAAAUUUUGUGUUCCUUUGUUCCAUAUUCCUUCAUUCUGCUCAGCCCUGGGACCACCAGGCCUCUGUCCCACAGGACCUGACUCUGGGAAUAACUGGAUAUCCAUGAAAACCUCUUUCAUCCUGACUUGGGAAGAAAAGCUUGGAGGGGAGAGGAUUGGGGCAGGAAGAAGCCUGGGUUGAAAGCAAAGCAAUGACAGAGCUGAGGUCGCUGGAGGGAGCAGAAAGGCAUAAAGAAGAAGGGGGAAAGGAGAUGGUUGUAAUCAUAAAAGUUGCAGGAGAAGCAUGACUUGUUUUAUUGAUGUGAAAUUCGCUGGAGGCCCAAGUGACUUCACUUCUGAGGAGAAAUCUCUGCAGUGUUUCAGAAGGGGAUAAUCUAAAUUAAUCGAUCCAUCUGUAAAGUGCUAAAAAUACAUUUCCUCUGUGGAAAGGUUGUUCCUUAUGUUCUGCCACUUCAGGAUCUGUUUCCCCAGGAGCACAGACAUGGAAAAAUAUGCUGGCACAGCAAGGAGACCAGGCUGUUAUUGGUGUUGGUGUUGUGAGACUCUAUUGGAAAUCUGGGAAAAUCCGUGUCAUCCCUGACUAAGAUUUGUCCCCAGGGAGUACAAACUAACUCUGAGAUGGAGAUGGAAAACCAAACACCCCAAAGAUGCUCAGGACAUCUCCUCAGCGAUUUCCUGCAUUACUCCAAACACCAGCAGAUUUUAGGAUGCUGCUUUUCCCCUCAAGAAAA